CAACAAACAAAUUUGCAAACAGCACUUGAAUCCGCCUGGGGUUUGAUAUGUAAUCAGUGAAACUACUUCUUACUUAACAGCCAUAUGGUAUAAGCAACGUAUGAAACAUACACACAUUGAAGAAGCCGAAUUACAGUUUAAAUAAUUUUACUCUCAGCUGAGCCACAUCAAAGCUUUAGAAAAGUGAACUGCACGUCAAAGGAUUCUUUGAAUCAUCUAAAGAACUUAUUUUGUUCAAAGCAAAACAUUUCCCUCACAUAAGCUUAUGUGCUACUAAAAAAAGGAAGUUAAAGUGAAUGUGGUAUAGUUUUACACAUUGCUCUUUAAAGAAAAUGCUCUUUUGGUUAAAUGAUGUUGAAUUAAUAACAAAAAUGUGUACCUUUGAACUGAUUUCUCAAGAAAGGCAGACCAGAUGUGUUCCAUUGCACUGAAAACAAUUCAGCUAAAGUCGUUUAAUGAAGUGUAAGGACACUCACUCCCUGAGUGUGCUAUACAGAAGUCACAUAAGGUGUCAAAGUGAAAUCCACUAGACGAUGCAUCUGUAAGCCUUUCAGAACUUAACAAAAGCCUGUACAACCUCCUUGUCUGCACCACACCACCAUGAUCACCGACUGGAUCACUAGCACAAGUGAACAACGGAAAAAAAAAAGUUUUGUUCUUAACAAAAACAAAUAAAAGACCUUUACCAGCAUGACAGAAAA
Molecule: long non-coding RNA, 701 nt
Organism: Lepisosteus oculatus (spotted gar)
Lineage: Eukaryota; Metazoa; Chordata; Actinopteri; Semionotiformes; Lepisosteidae
Source: RefSeq, a predicted model, not a curated record